RNAcentral lists this ribosomal RNA (245 nucleotides) under uncultured Eubacteriales bacterium. Its description in RNAcentral is "uncultured Clostridiales bacterium partial 16S ribosomal RNA". It matches the Rfam family "Bacterial small subunit ribosomal RNA", at positions 796 to 1041 of the family's 1533-position model. Lineage: Bacteria; Bacillati; Bacillota; Clostridia; Eubacteriales. The record is from RNAcentral.
CACGCCGUAAACGAUGAGUGCUAGGUGUCGGGGGUCGAACCUCGGUGCCGGAGUUAACACAUUAAGCACUCCGCCUGGGGAGUACGUGCGCAAGCAUGAAACUCAAAGGAAUUGACGGGGACCCGCACAAGCAGCGGAGCAUGUGGUUUAAUUCGAUGCAACGCGAAGAACCUUACCAGGGCUUGACAUCCCUCUGACAGGAUUAGAGAUAGUCUAUUUUCUUCGGAAACAGAGGAGACAGGUGG